This 725-nucleotide ribosomal RNA is filed under the name uncultured bacterium. RNAcentral describes it as "bacterial SSU rRNA". It matches the Rfam family "Bacterial small subunit ribosomal RNA", at positions 60 to 780 of the family's 1533-position model. The record is from RNAcentral.
AGUCGAGCGGUAGAGAGAAGCUUGCUUCUCUUGAGAGCGGCGGACGGGUGAGUAAUGCCUAAGAAUCUGCCUAGUGGUGGGGGAUAACGUUCGGAAACGGACGCUAAUACCGCAUACGUCCUACGGGAGAAAGCGGGGGAUCUUCGGACCUCGCGCCAUUAGAUGAGCCUAGGUCGGAUUAUCUAGUUGGUGAGGUAAUGGCUCACCAAGGCGACGAUCCGUAACUGGUCUGAGAGGAUGAUCAGUCACACUGGAACUGAGACACGGUCCAGACUCCUACUGGAGGCAGCAGUGGGGAAUAUUGGACAAUGGGCGAAAGCCUGAUCCAGCCAUGCCGCGUGUGUGAAGAAGGUCUUCGGAUUGUAAAGCACUUCAAGUUGGGAGGAAGGGCAGUAACCUAAUACGUUAUUGUUUUGACGUUACCGACAGAAUAAGCACCGGCUAACUUCGUGCCAGCAGCCGCGGUAAUACGAAGGGUGCAAGCGUUAAUCGGAAUUACUGGGCGUAAAGCGCGCGUAGGUGGUUCAGUAAGUUGGAAGUGAAAUCCCCGGGCUCAACCUGGGAACUGCUUUCGAAACUGCUGAGCUAGAGUACAGUAGAGGGUGGUGGAAUUUCCUGUGUAGCGGUGAAAUGCGUAGAUAUAAGAAGGAACACCAGUGACGAACGCGACCACCUGCACUGAUACUGACUACUGAGUGCGAAAGCGUGAGGAGCAAACAUGAUUA